GUCCCUGUAGCGCAAUGGGCAGCGCGUUGGACUUCUAAUUCAAAGGUCGUGCGUUCGAAUCCCUUCUGGGAUG
Molecule: transfer RNA, 73 nt
Filed under: Trichonephila inaurata madagascariensis
Lineage: Eukaryota; Metazoa; Arthropoda; Arachnida; Araneae; Nephilidae
Rfam family: tRNA
About the family: Transfer RNA (tRNA) molecules are approximately 80 nucleotides in length. Their secondary structure includes four short double-helical elements and three loops (D, anti-codon, and T loops).
Source: Rfam by way of RNAcentral